UUGCAUCUUGAUUUAAUUUUGAACGAGUGGCGGACGGGUGAGUAACACGUGGGUAACCCGCCCUUAAGUGGGGGAUAACAUUUGGAAACAGAUGCUAAUACCGCAUAAAUCCGGGAACCGCAUGGUUCUUGGCUGAAAGAUGGCGUAAGCUAUCGCUUUUGGAUGGACCCGCGGCGUAUUAGCUAGUUGGUGAGGUAACGGCUCACCAAGGCAAUGAUACGUAGCCGAACUGAGAGGUUGAUCGGCCACAUUGGGACUGAGACACGGCCCAAACUCCUACGGGAGGCAGCAGUAGGGAAUCUUCCACAAUGGACGCAAGUCUGAUGGAGCAACGCCGCGUGAGUGAAGAAGGCUUUCGGGUCGUAAAACUCUGUUGUUGGAGAAGAAUGGUCGGCAGAGUAACUGUUGUCGGCGUGACGGUAUCCAACCAGAAAGCCACGGCUAACUACGUGCCAGCAGCCGCGGUAAUACGUAGGUGGCAAGCGUUAUCCGGAUUUAUUGGGCGUAAAGCGAGCGCAGGCGGUUUUUUAAGUCUGAUGUGAAAGCCCUCGGCUUAACCGAGGAAGUGCAUCGGAAACUGGGAAACUUGAGUGCAGAAGAGGACAGUGGAACUCCAUGUGUAGCGGUGAAAUGCGUAGACAUAUGGAAGAACACCAGUGGCGAAGGCGGCUGUCUGGUCUGUAACUGACGCUGAGGCUCGAAAGCAUGGGUAGCGAACAGGAUUAGAUACCCUGGUAGUCCAUGCCGUAAACGAUGAAUGCUAGGUGUUGGAGGGUUUCCGCCCUUCA
RNAcentral lists this ribosomal RNA (788 nucleotides) under uncultured Lactobacillus sp. RNAcentral's name for it is "bacterial SSU rRNA". It matches the Rfam family "Bacterial small subunit ribosomal RNA", at positions 73 to 842 of the family's 1533-position model. Lineage: Bacteria; Bacillati; Bacillota; Bacilli; Lactobacillales; Lactobacillaceae. The record is from RNAcentral.